Mandrillus leucophaeus (drill) is the source of this 1359-nucleotide RNA transcript. It is a transcript of the gene named annexin A2 pseudogene, with no coding region annotated. The transcript has a single exon. The record is from RefSeq and is a predicted model, not a curated record. NCBI's taxonomy places the organism in Eukaryota, Metazoa, Chordata, Mammalia, Primates, Cercopithecidae.
CAUCUGGGGAUACUCUCAGAUCUCGGUGCUCAGCCCAGCUUCCUUCAAAAUGUCUACUGUUCAUGAAAUCCUGUGCAAGCUCAGCUUGGAGGGUGAACACUCUACACCCCUAAGUGCAUAUGGGUCAGUCAAAGCCUACACCAACUUUGAUGCUGAACAGGAUACUUCGAACACUGAAAUGGCCAUCAAGACCAAAGGUGUGGAUGAGAUCACCACUGUCAACAUUUUGACUAACCACAGCAAUGCACAGAGACAGGAUAUUGCCUUCACCUGCCAGAGAAGGACCAAAAAGGAACUUGCAUCAGCACCGAAGUCAGCCUUAUUUGGCCACCUAGAUAGUGGCUUUGGGCCUAUUAAAGACACCUGCUCAGUAUGACGCUUCUGAGCUAAAAGCUUCCAUGAAGGGGCUGGGAACCAACGAGGACUCCCUCAUUGAGAUCAUCUGCUGGAAAACCAACCAGGAGCUGCAGGAAAUUAACAGAGUCUAAAGGAAAUGUACAAGACUGAUCUGGAGAAGGACAUUAUUUCAGACACAUCUGGUGACUUCUGCAAGUCACCAGAUGUGUUGCCCUAGCAAAGGGUAGAAGAGCAGAAGAUGGUUCUGUCAUUGAUUAUGAACUGAUUGACCAAAAUGCCCGGGAUCUCUAUGACACUGGGGUGAAGAGGAAAGGAACUGAUGUUCCCAAGUGGAUCACCAUCAUGACCGAGCACAGCAUGUCCCACCUCCAGAAAGUAUUUGAUAGGUACAAGAGCUACAGCCCUUAUGACAUGUUGGAGAGCAUCAAGAAAGAGGUUAAUGGAGACCAAGAAAAUGCUUUCCUGAAGCUGGUCCAGUGUAUUCAGAACAAGCCCCUGUAUUUUGCUGACUGGCUGUACCACUCCAUGAAGGGCAAGAGGACUCGAGAUAAAGGUACUACUGAUCAGAAUCAUGGUCUCCCACAAUGAAGUGGACAUGUUGAAAAUUAGGUCUGAAUUCAAGAGAAAAGUACAGCAAGUCCCUGUACUAUUACAUCCAGCAAGACACUAAGGGUGCUGUACCUGUGUGUUGGAGAUGGCUGAAGCCCAACACAGCAUGAGCAUCCAGAAAUGAUGCUCCCCAUGCUUCCAGCUAACAGGUCCAGAAAACCAGCUUGUGACUAACAGUCCCUGUGGCUGUUCCUGUGAGGAUAUUAGCAUUGCCCCCAACCUCAUUUUAGUUGCCUAAGCAGUGCCUGGCUUUCCUGUCUAGUUUCUCCUGUAAGCCAAAGAAAUGAACAUUCCCAGGAGUUGGAAGUGAAGUCUAUGAUGUGAAACACUUUGCCUCCUGUGUACUGUGUCAUAAACAGAUUAAUAAACUGAAUCUGUACUUUAGAAACAAGU